Molecule: ribosomal RNA, 253 nt
Filed under: uncultured bacterium
Lineage: Bacteria
Description: partial 16S ribosomal RNA
Rfam family: Bacterial small subunit ribosomal RNA
Source: RNAcentral
UACGGAGGGUGCAAGCGUUAUCCGGAUUUACUGGGUUUAAAGGGCGCGCAGGCGGAUUGGUACGUCAGUGGUGAAAUACCCGUGCUUAACAUGGGAACUGCCAUUGAUACUAUCAGUCUUGAAUGUUGUUGAGGUUUGCGGAAUGGGUCAUGUAGCGGUGAAAUGCAUAGAUAUGACCCGGAACACCUAUUGCGAAGGCAGCAGGCUAAACAAAUAUUGACGCUGAGGCUCGAAAGCGUGGGGAUCAAACAGG